GGUUAAGCGACUAAGCGUACACGGUGGAUGCCCUGGCAGUCAGAGGCGAUGAAGGACGUGCUAAUCUGCGAUAAGCGUCGGUAAGGUGAUAUGAACCGUUAUAACCGGCGAUUUCCGAAUGGGGAAACCCAGUGUGUUUCGACACACUAUCAUUAACUGAAUCCAUAGGUUAAUGAGGCGAACCGGGGGAACUGAAACAUCUAAGUACCCCGAGGAAAAGAAAUCAACCGAGAUUCCCCCAGUAGCGGCGAGCGAACGGGGAGCAGCCCAGAGCCUGAAUCAGUGUGUGUGUUAGUGGAAGCGUCUGGAAAGGCGCGCGAUACAGGGUGACAGCCCCGUACACAAAAAUGCACAUGCUGUGAGCUCGAUGAGUAGGGCGGGACACGUGGUAUCCUGUCUGAAUAUGGGGGGACCAUCCUCCAAGGCUAAAUACUCCUGACUGACCGAUAGUGAACCAGUACCGUGAGGGAAAGGCGAAAAGAACCCCGGCGAGGGGAGUGAAAAAGAACCUGAAACCGUGUACGUACAAGCAGUGGGAGCACGCUUAGGCGUGUGACUGCGUACCUUUUGUAUAAUGGGUCAGCGACUUAUAUUCUGUAGCAAGGUUAACCGAAUAGGGGAGCCGAAGGGAAACCGAGUCUUAACUGGGCGUUAAGUUGCAGGGUAUAGACCCGAAACCCGGUGAUCUAGCCAUGGGCAGGUUGAAGGUUGGGUAACACUAACUGGAGGACCGAACCGACUAAUGUUGAAAAAUUAGCGGAUGACUUGUGGCUGGGGGUGAAAGGCCAAUCAAACCGGGAGAUAGCUGGUUCUCCCCGAAAGCUAUUUAGGUAGCGCCUCGUGAAUUCAUCUCCGGGGGUAGAGCACUGUUUCGGCAAGGGGGUCAUCCCGACUUACCAACCCGAUGCAAACUGCGAAUACCGGAGAAUGUUAUCACGGGAGACACACGGCGGGUGCUAACGUCCGUCGUGAAGAGGGAAACAACCCAGACCGCCAGCUAAGGUCCCAAAGUCAUGGUUAAGUGGGAAACGAUGUGGGAAGGCCCAGACAGCCAGGAUGUUGGCUUAGAAGCAGCCAUCAUUUAAAGAAAGCGUAAUAGCUCACUGGUCGAGUCGGCCUGCGCGGAAGAUGUAACGGGGCUAAACCAUGCACCGAAGCUGCGGCAGCGACGCUUAUGCGUUGUUGGGUAGGGGAGCGUUCUGUAAGCCUGCGAAGGUGUGCUGUGAGGCAUGCUGGAGGUAUCAGAAGUGCGAAUGCUGACAUAAGUAACGAUAAAGCGGGUGAAAAGCCCGCUCGCCGGAAGACCAAGGGUUCCUGUCCAACGUUAAUCGGGGC
RNAcentral lists this ribosomal RNA (1335 nucleotides) under Escherichia coli EC4100B. RNAcentral's name for it is "LSU rRNA". It matches the Rfam family "Bacterial large subunit ribosomal RNA", at positions 1 to 1375 of the family's 2925-position model. The record is from RNAcentral. Lineage: Bacteria; Pseudomonadati; Pseudomonadota; Gammaproteobacteria; Enterobacterales; Enterobacteriaceae.